CCCUUGCAGGCAUUGAAUUCUUACUUAAAGCACUGAUAUGGGUAGCAACAGAGUUAGAAGAAGAAGAGUGGAAAUUAGAAAGAUUACUUCCACCAGUAACAAUUGAACGGAAAAUUAAAGAAGAAUAAAGCUUACCCGUAUCUGGAAAUGAAACAAAAUGGAAAAGCAGGAACUGAACUAGAAAUGAAAGCAGAAAUGGCGACGGCACUACCAGUACCAGAACAGGUUACUAUGUCCUCAGUGUUCAAAAAGUGAUACUCCUUAUGGGCCUAAUAACUGUGGUUGGUGAUUGCCACUAGAAGAUCACACCGAAGGAAACCAACUUUUUUUUU
This 332-nucleotide long non-coding RNA is filed under the name Gossypium barbadense (sea-island cotton). Its description in RNAcentral is "long non-coding RNA (GBAR_LNC018870)". Lineage: Eukaryota; Viridiplantae; Streptophyta; Magnoliopsida; Malvales; Malvaceae. The record is from RNAcentral.